GACGAACGCUGGCGGCGUGCUUAACACAUGCAAGUCGAACGGAAAGGCCUGCUUUCCCUUGUGUAUUGCGGGUACUCGAGUGGCGAACGGGUGAGUAACACGUGAGUGAUCUGCCCCCAACUUGGGUAUAAGCCUGGGAAACUGUGUCUAAUUCCCGAUAGGACUGCAGGGUGGUGCCUGUGGUGGAAAACGAUUUUCUAGUGGUUGGGGAUGAGCUCGCGGCCUAUCAGCUUGUUGGUGGGGUAAUGGCCUACCAAGGCGGCGACGGGUAGCCGGCCUGAGAGGGUGGACGGCCACAUUGGGACUGAGAUACGGCCCAGACUCCUACGGGAGGCAGCAGUGGGGAAUAUUGCACAAUGGGCGGAAGCCUGAUGCAGCGACGCCGCGUGGGGGAUGACGGCCUUCGGGUUGUAAACUCCUUUCGACCGCGAGGAAGCCACCUGGUUGGAAGGGUGGUGACGGUAGUGGAAGAAGAAGCACCGGCUAACUACGUG
This 494-nucleotide ribosomal RNA is filed under the name uncultured bacterium. RNAcentral describes it as "partial 16S ribosomal RNA". It matches the Rfam family "Bacterial small subunit ribosomal RNA", at positions 28 to 507 of the family's 1533-position model. The record is from RNAcentral.